GAUGAACGCUGGCGGCGUGCCUAAUACAUGCAAGUCGAGCGAACAGACGAGGAGCUUGCUCCUCUGACGUUAGCGGCGGACGGGUGAGUAACACGUGGAUAACCUACCUAUAAGACUGGGAUAACUUCGGGAAACCGGAGCUAAUACCGGAUAAUAUAUCGAACUGCAUGGUUCAAUCGUGAAAGUCGGUUUUGGUGUUAAUUAUUGAUGUAUCCGCGCCGCCUUAGAUAGUUGGUAAGGUAACGGCUUACCAAGGCGACGAUGCGUAGCCGACCUGAGAGGGUGGUCGGCCACACUGGAACUGAGACACGGUCCAGACUCCUACGGGAGGCAGCAGUAGGGAAUCUUCCGCGAUGGGCGAAAGCCUGACGGAGCAACGCCGCGUGAAUGAUGAAGGUCUUCGGAUCGUAAAGCUCUGUUAUUAGGGAAGAACAAAUGUGUAAGUAACUAUGCACGUCUUGACGGUACCUAAUCAGAAAGCCACGGCUAACUACGUG
This 497-nucleotide ribosomal RNA is filed under the name uncultured bacterium. RNAcentral describes it as "partial 16S ribosomal RNA". It matches the Rfam family "Bacterial small subunit ribosomal RNA", at positions 28 to 507 of the family's 1533-position model. The record is from RNAcentral.